UACAGAGGUGGCAAGCGUUGUUCGGAAUUACUGGGCGUAAAGGGCGCGUAGGCGGCCGCCUAAGUCAGACGUGAAAUCCCAAGGCUUAACCUUGGAACUGCGUCUGAUACUGGGUGGCUUGAGUCCGGGAGAGGGAUGCGGAAUUCCAGGUGUAGCGGUGAAAUGCGUAGAGAUCGGAAGGAACACCAACGGCGAAAGCACUCUGCUGGGCCGACACUGACACUGAGAGACGAAAGCUAGGGGAGCGAAUGGG
This 253-nucleotide ribosomal RNA is filed under the name uncultured bacterium. Its description in RNAcentral is "partial 16S ribosomal RNA". It matches the Rfam family "Bacterial small subunit ribosomal RNA", at positions 524 to 776 of the family's 1533-position model. The record is from RNAcentral.